ACAUGUUAAAAAAAUCAUUUUAAAAAUGUUGGCAAACCUUAGAAUCCCCACUACUUUCCUGUUUCUUAUUUUUGUCUAACCCCUCCUCAACCAGCCGUUUAUGGCUCUCUCUCUCUUCCCUCUCCUCAAAAUUUUAGAUCUAAAACUAUGGCAUGGUGAGAUAACAAGCAAGACAAAACCAAAAUUCAAUUAUCUCUCUCCCUGAACAACCCCCAUGGUCGCUUGAGUCGGACGACACGUUUGGGUCGGGCUGUGAUCCGAAGCGACACCGUCUCCUCCGCUCUGCGCUGUCAAUUUAACUGUCAUUGCCCAAUCCUUCAUAUAGGUUCACUUCUCUUUCCUCUCCUUGAAUUCACAUGAGCAUCGAUUUUAAUUGCCAAAUUUUGUUUUGAUUGUCGAAUUUGAAUCUACAUUGAAGCAACUUACUAGAUCUGAUUUUCGUUUUAAUUUCAGGUUUUAUUUAAGUGUCGGGAGGGGUGUAGAGUGCAACCCAGAUCAGAGCACUUCAGCAAAUGGGGUCCACAUGCGGUGCCGGACUAGCGAGUCAGCGCAGUCGUGAAGAAUGACAUAUUCUAUAUAGUUAGAUCUGCUGCGCUGCGCAUCUCGCUGCUGAUGAGUUUCGUUCACUUGUUGAGUUUCUUUACUAAUGAUGAUGAUGACAGUAGCUCAAUUGUACAAGUAUUUAUUAUCUAUUGUAAAAUUUGUAAUUUUGUUUUCUUGGAAGAAAUUUAGUUAUUGUAAUUAAAAUAUCGGUUAUUUUAAUUAAAACUACUCCAUAUAAUCA
Chenopodium quinoa (quinoa) is the source of this 784-nucleotide long non-coding RNA. RefSeq lists it as uncharacterized. The record is from RefSeq and is a predicted model, not a curated record. The transcript has 3 exons. Lineage: Eukaryota; Viridiplantae; Streptophyta; Magnoliopsida; Caryophyllales; Amaranthaceae.